Molecule: transfer RNA, 77 nt
Filed under: Acidobacteriota bacterium
Lineage: Bacteria; Pseudomonadati; Acidobacteriota
Description: Acidobacteria bacterium (hot springs metagenome) tRNA-Pro
Rfam family: tRNA
About the family: Transfer RNA (tRNA) molecules are approximately 80 nucleotides in length.
Source: RNAcentral
CGGGGCGUAGCGCAGUUUGGUAGCGCGCUUGGUUCGGGACCAAGAGGCCGUGGGUUCAAGUCCCGCCGCCCCGACCA